This 429-nucleotide ribosomal RNA is filed under the name Gemmatimonadota bacterium. RNAcentral's name for it is "Gemmatimonadetes bacterium partial 16S ribosomal RNA". It matches the Rfam family "Bacterial small subunit ribosomal RNA", at positions 355 to 776 of the family's 1533-position model. Lineage: Bacteria; Pseudomonadati; Gemmatimonadota. The record is from RNAcentral.
UAGGGAAUCUUCGGCAAUGGACGAAAGUCUGACCGAGCAACGCCGCGUGAGUGAAGAAGGUUUUCGGAUCGUAAAACUCUGUUGUUAGAGAAGAACAAGGACGUUAGUAACUGAACGUCCCCUGACGGUAUCUAACCAGAAAGCCACGGCUAACUACGUGCCAGCAGCCGCGGUAAUACGUAGGUGGCAAGCGUUGUCCGGAUUUAUUGGGCGUAAAGCGAGCGCAGGCGGUUUCUUAAGUCUGAUGUGAAAGCCCCCGGCUCAACCGGGGAGGGUCAUUGGAAACUGGGAGACUUGAGUGAAGGAGAGGAGGGUGGAAUUCCAUGUGGAGCGGUGAAAUGCGUAGAUAUAUGGAGGAACACCAGUGGCGAAGGCGGCUCUCUGGUCUGUAACUGACGCUGAGGCUCGAAAGCGUGGGGAGCAAACAGG